This is a long non-coding RNA of Meriones unguiculatus (Mongolian gerbil), 341 nucleotides long. RefSeq lists it as uncharacterized. Lineage: Eukaryota; Metazoa; Chordata; Mammalia; Rodentia; Muridae. The transcript is spliced from 2 exons. The record is from RefSeq and is a predicted model, not a curated record.
CUGCUAGCCAGGGUAGGAGUUAGAUGAGGAGGUGGAGGAUUCAGCCAUGGCAGACGUCCAGGGGACCAGGAGAGAGUGCUCAGCAAGGAAAGCUACAAAGUGUGUGGCGAUACGGCGCUGCUUCUCAGCAGCUGGUGAUGAUUUGCCUUGUGCUCUAGCAGAGUGUGCUUUUGCCAGCUGCAGAUGGUUUCUGUGAUUGUGUGGCAUUUGGAACCUGGGAAGUUUUCAGAAGGUGCAUAAAUGUGAGGGCCCUGACAGGCGGUGUGUGGUGAUGGGAAGGUUGGUGGUUGUUAGUAAUCAUGCUCACAGAAGAAACAGGAAUAAAGAAUUAGAUUCACAGA